RNAcentral lists this ribosomal RNA (492 nucleotides) under uncultured bacterium. RNAcentral's name for it is "partial 16S ribosomal RNA". It matches the Rfam family "Bacterial small subunit ribosomal RNA", at positions 29 to 507 of the family's 1533-position model. The record is from RNAcentral.
AGUGAACGCUGGCGGUAGGCCUAACACAUGCAAGUCGAACGGCAGCACAGUAAGAGCUUGCUCUUACGGGUGGCGAGUGGCGGACGGGUGAGGAAUACAUCGGAAUCUACUUUUUCGUGGGGGAUAACGUAGGGAAACUUACGCUAAUACCGCAUACGACCUACGGGUGAAAGCAGGGGAUCUUCGGACCUUGCGCGAUUGAAUGAGCCGAUGUCGGAUUAGCUAGUUGGCGGGGUAAAGGCCCACCAAGGCGACGAUCCGUAGCUGGUCUGAGAGGAUGAUCAGCCACACUGGAACUGAGACACGGUCCAGACUCCUACGGGAGGCAGCAGUGGGGAAUCUUGGACAAUGGGCGCAAGCCUGAUCCAGCCAUGCCGCGUGGGUGAAGAAGGCCUUCGGGUUGUAAAGCCCUUUUGUUGGGAAAGAAAAGCAGCAGGUUAAUACCCCGCUGUUCUGACGGUACCCAAAGAAUAAGCACCGGCUAACUUCGUG